GGCGCGAAACCUCCGCAAUGCGAGCAAUCGCGACGGGGGGACCCCAAGUGCCACUCUUAACGGGGUGGCUUUCUGGAAGUGUAAGAAAGCGUAGGAAAUACAGGCUGCGCAAGACAG
This 117-nucleotide ribosomal RNA is filed under the name uncultured archaeon. RNAcentral describes it as "partial 16S ribosomal RNA". It matches the Rfam family "Archaeal small subunit ribosomal RNA", at positions 338 to 454 of the family's 1478-position model. The record is from RNAcentral.